CCUGCGCUUCUCUAUUCGUCCCUUAGUUUCACUUGUGUAUCGAUCUGAAGAUCGGAUUGUUCCUCCCUCCUCUUGGAUUGGUCGAGUCAUCUUUGGACUUAUUAAAUCUUUAAAGAUGUUGUUGUUUAAUUUCAGGGAAAUCUAAUGUUUUUAGAUCGAUUAUAUACAUCAGAAUCUUCUUUUGUUGAAGCGAGGUCCUUUGGCUAUCCCUGUUCUAGUUUUGGGCGUUAGUUUGCUUCGGAUCAUAGGUUCUCCGGUGAAUCGGAGCUCCGAUGACGAUCUCUGAGUACUCGACAGUAGUAAGCCGUGGGAUUUGACCUUCAAGGACAUGUGUGUCCACCUCGCUAUGCGACUAUCACGUGUCUUCGAGCUGCAUGUUGGCUCGUCUUCCCUCCGCGUGGCCGAUUAGUCUUUCUUCUAUCUGGGUCUGGUUGGGCCUGCUUUGGAAUUUAGAUUGUGUAAUUUUAUAUUUCGUCUGGCUUUACUGUAAGCCUCAGUUUUCUUGUACUUGAACUUUUAAGUUAACUAGG
This 530-nucleotide long non-coding RNA is filed under the name Brassica napus (rape). RNAcentral's name for it is "long non-coding RNA (BNAP_LNC020258)". The record is from RNAcentral. Lineage: Eukaryota; Viridiplantae; Streptophyta; Magnoliopsida; Brassicales; Brassicaceae.